AUUGAACGCUGGCGGCAGGCCUAACACAUGCAAGUCGAGCGGAUGAAGGGAGCUUGCUCCUGGAUUCAGCGGUGGACGGGUGAGUAAUGCCUAGGAAUCUGCCUGGUAGUGGGGGAUAACGUCCGGAAACGGGCGCUAAUACCGCAUACGUCCUGAGGGAGAAAGUGGGGGAUCUUCGGACCUCACGCUAUCAGAUGAGCCUAGGUCGGAUUAGCUAGUUGGUGGGGUAAAGGCCUACCAAGGCGACGAUCCGUAACUGGUCUGAGAGGAUGAUCAGUCACACUGGAACUGAGACACGGUCCAGACUCCUACGGGAGGCAGCAGUGGGGAAUAUUGGACAAUGGGCGAAAGCCUGAUCCAGCCAUGCCGCGUGUGUGAAGAAGGUCUUCGGAUUGUAAAGCACUUUAAGUUGGGAGGAAGGGCAGUAAGUUAAUACCUUGCUGUUUUGACGUUACCAACAGAAUAAGCACCGGCUAACUUCGUGC
RNAcentral lists this ribosomal RNA (485 nucleotides) under uncultured bacterium. RNAcentral describes it as "partial 16S ribosomal RNA". It matches the Rfam family "Bacterial small subunit ribosomal RNA", at positions 30 to 508 of the family's 1533-position model. The record is from RNAcentral.